AUUGAACGCUGGCGGCAUGCUUUACACAUGCAAGUCGAGCGGCAGCGCGGGGGCAACCCUGGCGGCGAGCGGCGAACGGGUGAGUAAUGCAUCGGAACGUAUCCUCCAGUGGGGGAUAACCCAGCGAAAGUUGGGCUAAUACCGCAUGAGCUCUGAGGAGGAAAGCGGGGGACCUGCGAGGGCCUCGCGCUGGAGGAGCGGCCGAUGUCCGAUUAGCUAGUUGGUGGGGUAAAGGCUUACCAAGGCGACGAUCGGUAGCUGGUCUGAGAGGAUGAUCAGCCAGACUGGGACUGAGACACGGCCCAGACUCCUACGGGCGGCAGCAGUGGGGAAUUUUGGACAAUGGGGGCAACCCUGAUCCAGCCAUGCCGCGUGAGUGAAGAAGGCCUUCGGGUUGUAAAGCUCUUUCGGACGGAACGAAAUGGGCGGGACUAAUACUCCUGUCUGAUGACGGUACCGUAAGAAGAAGCACCGGCUAACUACGUG
RNAcentral lists this ribosomal RNA (486 nucleotides) under uncultured bacterium. RNAcentral's name for it is "partial 16S ribosomal RNA". It matches the Rfam family "Bacterial small subunit ribosomal RNA", at positions 29 to 507 of the family's 1533-position model. The record is from RNAcentral.